RNAcentral lists this ribosomal RNA (468 nucleotides) under uncultured bacterium. Its description in RNAcentral is "partial 16S ribosomal RNA". It matches the Rfam family "Bacterial small subunit ribosomal RNA", at positions 28 to 507 of the family's 1533-position model. The record is from RNAcentral.
GACGAACGCUGGCGGCGUGCUUAACACAUGCAAGUCGAACGGAAAGACCCUGCUUUUGUGGGGUGCUCGAGUGGCGAACGGGUGAGUAACACGUGAGUAACCUGCCCUUGACUUUGGGAUAACUUCAGGAAACUGGGGCUAAUACCGGAUAGGAGCUCCUGCUGCAUGGUGGGGGUUGGAAAGUUUCGGCGGUUGGGGAUGGACUCGCGGCUUAUCAGCUUGUUGGUGGGGUAGUGGCUUACCAAGGCUUUGACGGGUAGCCGGCCUGAGAGGGUGACCGGCCACAUUGGGACUGAGAUACGGCCCAGACUCCUACGGAAGGCAGCAGUGGGGAAUAUUGCACAAUGGGCGGAAGCCUGAUGCAGCAACGCCGCGUGCGGGAUGACGGCCUUCGGGUUGUAAACCGCUUUCGCCUGUGACGAAGCGUGAGUGACGGUAAUGGGUAAAGAAGCACCGGCUAACUACGUG